CCGGCUUACCAACCCGAUGCAAACUGCGAAUACCGGAGAAUGUUAUCACGGGAGACACACGGCGGGUGCUAACGUCCGUCGUGAAGAGGGAAACAACCCAGACCGCCAGCUAAGGUCCCAAAGUCAUGGUUAAGUGGGAAACGAUGUGGGAAGGCCCAGACAGCCAGGAUGUUGGCUUAGAAGCAGCCAUCAUUUAAAGAAAGCGUAAUAGCUCACUGGUCGAGUCGGCCUGCGCGGAAGAUGUAACGGGGCUAAACCAUGCACCGAAGCUGCGGCAGCGACACUGUGUGUUGUUGGGUAGGGGAGCGUUCUGUAAGCCUGUGAAGGUGUGUCGUGAGGCAUGCUGGAGGUAUCAGAAGUGCGAAUGCUGAC
This 372-nucleotide ribosomal RNA is filed under the name Salmonella enterica. RNAcentral describes it as "partial 23S ribosomal RNA". It matches the Rfam family "Bacterial large subunit ribosomal RNA", at positions 931 to 1301 of the family's 2925-position model. Lineage: Bacteria; Pseudomonadati; Pseudomonadota; Gammaproteobacteria; Enterobacterales; Enterobacteriaceae. The record is from RNAcentral.